UACGUAGGGUGCGAGCGUUGUCCGGAUUUAUUGGGCGUAAAGAGCUCGUAGGCGGUUCGGUAAGUCGGGUGUGAAAACUCUGGGCUCAACCCAGAGAGGCCACCCGAUACUGCCGUGACUGGAGUGCGGUAGGGGAGUGGGGAAUUCCUGGUGUAGCGGUGAAAUGCGCAGAUAUCUGGAGGAACACCGGUGGCGAAGGCGGCAUUCUGGACCGAAACUGACGCUGAGGCGCGAAAGCCAGGGGAGCAAACGGG
RNAcentral lists this ribosomal RNA (254 nucleotides) under uncultured bacterium. RNAcentral describes it as "partial 16S ribosomal RNA". It matches the Rfam family "Bacterial small subunit ribosomal RNA", at positions 524 to 776 of the family's 1533-position model. The record is from RNAcentral.